Heterocephalus glaber (naked mole-rat) is the source of this 710-nucleotide long non-coding RNA. The record is from Ensembl. Lineage: Eukaryota; Metazoa; Chordata; Mammalia; Rodentia; Bathyergidae.
AGUGAAUUAAGCACAUAAACAGUGGCAGUUUUUUUGUGGAGCGCUGAUUGGUGCUAUUUUCAUGGCCUAUAUGUGAAAUAUAGAUUCGAGAUGAAAUGUGGAAAACUCUCAUCUCUGUAGCCGAUACCACACUGGAAACACUGUUAUGCUUAUUCGGAUGUUACUGAUGUUGCUCUCUAGUCCAGUAUUAUUCUCUGUGUCCACAGCUUUAAGAUUGGAUCUCUUGUAAAGUGUGUUGAGUGGCAAGACUCAUGCUCCUCACCUCUGCCCUACUCAGGACAAUUCCCUUUUACUCAGAGCUCAGAAACGCCAAUGGACACCACCUGUGAAGUAGGAUGUUUGCACAUUCUAAAAUCAACUACUUGAGUAACAGUGGUCUCAGCUGUGUGUAGUUCAAAUGACCACACCUGCCUCAGGAGGCUCUCAACACACAAGAGGUGAACUUUAAGUCCGAAGCAUAUUUAAUGCAGAUUUUCCAUAGGAAGGAUCAUUUGCAUUAUGUGAAAUUGUCUUUCACUUUACUUGAACCAAACCAAGACAAAUGAAUACUUGUACAAUGCUUAUUGGAAGUAAUAAAACAACAUUGUUGGGCAUGAUCUCAAAAGAAAUAGCUCAGUAUUUUACAUUAAGUAUGAAGUUUCUUGUAGACUUGUCCGUAUUUAGAGAUAUCCUUUAACAGGUAAAGAGUAACUAAUCACAAGGAUUUUGGA